GUGGGGAAUAUUGGACAAUGGGGGGAACCCUGAUCCAGCCAUGCCGCGUGUGUGAAGAAGGCCUUUUGGUUGUAAAGCACUUUAAGCGAGGAGGAGGCUACCGAGAUUAAUACUCUUGGAUAGUGGACGUUACUCGCAGAAUAAGCACCGGCUAACUCUGUGCCAGCAGCCGCGGUAAUACAGAGGGUGCAAGCGUUAAUCGGAUUUACUGGGCGUAAAGCGUGCGUAGGUGGCCAAUUAAGUCAAAUGUGAAAUCCCCGAGCUUAACUUGUGAAUUGCAUUAGAUACUGGUUGGCUAGAGUAUGGGAGAGGAUGGUAGAAUACCAGGUGUAGCGGUGAAAUGCGUAGAGAUCUGGAGGAAUACCGAUGGCGAAGGCAGCCAUCUGGCCUAAUACUGACACUGAGGUGCGAAAGCAUGGGGAGCAAACAGGAUUAGAUACCCUGGUAGUCC
RNAcentral lists this ribosomal RNA (451 nucleotides) under uncultured bacterium. RNAcentral's name for it is "partial 16S ribosomal RNA". It matches the Rfam family "Bacterial small subunit ribosomal RNA", at positions 354 to 796 of the family's 1533-position model. The record is from RNAcentral.